UUUCUGUUUUCUUUGGCCUGUCUUAAACAUUUCCUAAUGUUACAUAAAAUUUUUUAAAAAUCUAUUUAGAUUUAUCUAUAUUAUUUUUGAAUGCCUCUUUGUAGUUUUUUAGUGGUUGCUCAGGGUACUACAUUAUAUAUAGAUAACAUACCUCUACUAAUACCAUGAGGACAGAGAAGUGGUCUCAUUACCACUGAGAAGUGAUGAAAAUCCUAACUCUCUACUAGGUCCCCUCCCACUUCUCUCCAGCAUAGAGGUUUCCUUGUUACAAUGUGAAGGAGUCUUUUCCAAUGUGGGUUAAGGUAGGACCAUGGUUUUCCUGUGAUGUUUGACUGGAGUAGAGCACUUACUAUCUAAACGUUUUCUGUCUUAGAUUGGGCCAGAGUGGGGGAGGUAUAAAAAAAAAGUUUUCUGUCUUUAAAAAUUAAAUAAACAAAUAAAUAAUAGUUUUCUGUCUUCCUAAAUUGACUCUUAGUCCUUUGGCUACAGACAGCAGGCUUAUGUUGGAGCUUUCUUUACACUUGAUGCUUCCAGGUUACUGGCUUAUCAAGCUCCAAGUCUUUAUUUACAAGACAAAAAGAAAACCCAGGGAAUUUACCAUUAUAGUGUUCCUUGAAUCUUAAGGUUCCUAGCUGUUCUGCCUUCUUCUCUCCACCUUUCAUAAUCUUCUUAUGUGUGUUUUAUAUAUGCUGUCCAGGGUUUGGGUUGUACUUAACCAAAGAAAUAGGAAAAAGUAUGUCUAAUUCCAUCUUCCCAGCAAUGUGUUUCUUCCUUGGCUAUUUAAUAAAGAACACUUAAAAGAACUGAAGGGCUAUUGGCACAGUUGUUUUGAGAAGAAAGCACUAGCUAGCCAUUACAUUGUUCAUAUAAAUAUAUUCAUUAUCAGAUAAAUAUAUUUAUUGUUAAAUAAACAUAUGUUAGUUAUCAUAAAAUUUAAACUAAACCAGUAUUUAUUCUGAUUCUCAUUCUCAGGAAAUUUGGUUUUUCUUUAAGGCAAAGAGAAGUUUUCUUGUAAUGUGAAAUGAUUCAUUUUAAUAAUUCAAAAGAUUGUUCAAUUGUCAACUUGAUAUUAUAAAUGUUCUUUUAAGAUUUAUUUUAGAGAGAGAGAGAGAGAGAGAGCACGUGCGCAAGAGGGGGAGGGAGAGGGGCGGAGGGAGAGAAAGAAUCUUCAAGCAGACCCCCUGCUGAGCACGGAGCUUGAUGCUGGGCCCAAUCCCACAACCCUGAGAUCAUGACCUGAAAGGAAAUCACGAAUCAUUCAACUGACUGAGCCACCCAAGCGCCCAGAUAUUCUAAAUGUUCUUAUAUGAAAGUAUAUUUGUAUCAACUUGUUAAUAAAUGCUUUAAUUUGUAGCAGGUUACAGAUAGAGCAGUCUUCAGAUUAAAUUCUGCCACAAAUAUUACCAUCAAUAUAUUAGCAGAUACCAAGAAAGCAACCUGUUUUCUCAACUAGAUGAAGUCCCAUUCUCUAUCUUCUUAAAUGCUCUAAACAUACCUUAUAUUUUUUUCAAGAAAAGCAUGAAUUCUAGAAGCAAAAUCCAGUUAAUCUCUCAAUCAGCCUCAAGUGACCAGAAUCUUCUAAAUUGUAGGAACACAAGACUUUACUGUAUUUAAGUCUCAGACACCAACCCUAUAUGUGAGGGAAGGUAGGAAGGCUUCCUAGUUUCUUAUAAUCUUUCAUGCAAGAGUGGGAGAGCAUCUCUAAAAUAUUUCAAUCAAUCUUUUCAUGAAAAUAUCCACUAGCAUCCCCUACACAUCACAGAGAAUUCAAUUGCUCGGAAGUAAAGGACAGGGUGAAGGAAGAAGUAGUAGACUAAGCAUUUUACUGUUUUUCCGGAAGUGGAACAGCUAGUAACACCCUGUGUUACAGAGUCACUUCUUGUAAGCUUCUGAAAGUCUCUAAGUUUCUGAAAGUCAUAUUAGGAUGCGAUAAACAUAGUAUUCUUUACAAAAGUUGUUUUUAGACUUUUUAAAAAACUUGUACUCCGGUAGAAAAUAGGGAAGGGUUGCUAAAGGCCACCUAUCUGUCUACUAUUACCCAGUCCCCUCCCCAGGAGGGUGGUUCUGAAAAUGUGGACCCCACACCAGACUUAC
RNAcentral lists this long non-coding RNA (2094 nucleotides) under Canis lupus familiaris (dog). Its description in RNAcentral is "lncRNA (ENSCAFG00000053672.1)". Lineage: Eukaryota; Metazoa; Chordata; Mammalia; Carnivora; Canidae. The record is from RNAcentral.